UCGGCGCAUGCGUGAUGGCUCACGGAGGCGCUCCAUUGAGGAGAAUCUGGGGAGGGGGAGGAGCCGAGGCGUGAGGCGCCGCCGAAGGGGCGGGGCUAGGCUGCGGGGCGCCGUUCCCUCCCUCCGGCCAUGGCCACUGUGGAUACCGAGUUUUGCAGGUGAUGUGAUCUCCUGUCGUUCUUUAAGUCCUGCCCUGCUCUGCCUCCUCUUCUCAGUUACUCCUGAUGGCUGAUUUCCCCUCAGGAUCCCUGGCUCGUAAGUGAGGAGAGUUCUCUGCUGUGCUUGCCUGGGCCCAUUACUUUUAACACAUAAGCUGCUUCAGGAACUCUGCAUCAGUUUUACGGAGAAGGGGAGAGGCAGAUGUCUGGAGUUUACAGUGAACCCUCUGGAGAAAGCAGAAGGGUAAACCCAGGGCCACAUAUUUCACUCUGGUGUUAUGAAUCAUGAUACUGAAGGAGGACAGUAUUGGAAUCCUGAAACCAGACUCAGAUUUAUCUACCAACUUUAAUGUGCAAGCUCCUUAAUGCAAGAGCAGCUAUUUCUUCAAGAACGAUACAGGUGUUACUUAAUUGGUUUGCCUGGGGAUACAUCUCACCAUAACACAUUAUGAGCGUUAGAAAUUAUCUGUCCCUAACCUCCUUCAUUAUCCAUUGCAAACUAAAAGUCUGCUUUCCCUGCCUCUGCGCCUGGAGGAGCCCCCACUAGCUUGAUAUAUCUUAAUCUCAUUUUAUUUUCCAGAUCAUUUGAUUUCUCAGUGCUUCUGCAGUCCUUAAUGUUCUUGGGAAUCUUUGGAUCCAUCAAUCUUUAUCUCGGAGUCUUUGGUUUCCUUGUCAGGUCCUUAGCAACCUUGAAACAAAGUUCCCAAACUGUCUUUCAUAUAUAACCCAAACUGCUUAUGAUCUGGAAUCUUUCAGUAGUGUGUGUACAACUCUUGGUAAACCAAAUUCUGCCCCCUUUGUAGUAUGACACUGGUGAUCUCCUUUCUCCUAUCCCUCCUCUACUCUUGGAGAUUGGGAAUUAAAUGCCAAAUAUUUAGUAGAUCCACCUGUGUGUUUAGACGUCAAAGGGUAUUUCAGACAUCCCAGUAACUGGAUUAAUCACAAAAUAGAGAACCAAAUAUCUCAAAUAGUUUAAAAAAAAAAAAGUGAAUAAGCAAAUGAAACUGAAAGCAGCACCCUUCUACUCUGCAUUCAGCACCAAACCUUGUCCAAGUAACCUUCCUCCUACACAUAAUUUAGGUACAGAUUCUAGUCUUCUCUAAACUGAUGGAAAUCCAUUCGAACAGCAGUGACUUCAGUGGAGUUACUCUAGAUUUACACCAGAGCGAGGAGAUCAGUCUGGCCCUUCAUUUCUGUAUUGUUCUUUACUUUCUAAAUAGCAGUUAAAAUUAGUAAUAAUAGUGUCUGAAAUGACAAUAAUCUCUUAAGUAUUCCUUACAUCCUUUACACCCAGGGAGUUAGCUCUCCCAAGCUAUUUACCUCCAGAAGUUCUGCAGUUGUCUUGCAGGCUUUGUCCAAGAACACCUUGAAUGGGAAGGAAAAAUGAGAAAGUCCCCUGGUUUUUGAAGUUGUCAAUUAUGCUCUUGGCUAAGCUGAUUAUUUUAUUUAUUCCAAUAAUCCUCUCUUCCAGAAUAAAAGAAAAUUAAUUGUCUGCCUAUUUCUGGAGUGAUUUGUCCUUCAGACAGAGUUGCUUGGCAAAGUGCUUAAAAUCUGGGCUAAAAAGAUGGCCGAGUGUUUAAAAUCGGAGU
Dermochelys coriacea (leatherback sea turtle) is the source of this 1747-nucleotide long non-coding RNA. RefSeq lists it as uncharacterized. Lineage: Eukaryota; Metazoa; Chordata; Testudines; Dermochelyidae. The transcript is spliced from 3 exons. The record is from RefSeq and is a predicted model, not a curated record.